GAGCUGCCAAUCAAACACUUUAGUUUAUUUAACAGCGCGUUUCUCUGUUUGGUCACAUAACAUGUUCCCAUUAAUUGGACUCUGGAGCUCAGUGAAGGCCGUCAGUGCUGUGGUCUCUGCGUCUCAGGCACCGUCAGUAGAGGAUUACAGCGCCUGUAUGUGUUGAGGAUAUUCUCCUGCCUGUAGGUUCAUGAACCUCUGUGAAAACACGGCCGUCUGCCUGGGAGCAAAUCAUCAUCAAUUAUGAAGCUUCAACCCAGGAAUGUUUUCCUCCUUAGUGGAAACUGUGGAAGCGGCAGCAGCAGAAUGAGCAGCUCCACAUCUGAGCUGCUGGAGGCUGCAAGUCGCAAAUUUGGAAGCAAAGGUGUUACUGUUUAACACGUGUGCAUGUUGUUAGGGUGGCACCUAUUAAUAAAUAAAUGAGGGUAAAUGUAGACAGAUUUUUUUCAGUGCUGAUUGUCUUGAGACAUGUAUUUUAGCUUCUCCGCUUGUCAAUACUGAUAAUGUACUACUAAUAAUAUGUGGCUGUUGUAGUAUUUAUUUUCCCCACUUUGUCCCCAGAAUGGCGAAAGACUUAUUUACUAUUUAGUCAGUAUAAUAGCUUCGCUGGUUGUUGACCCUUUCAAUUUCUGGCUCUUGGUAAGUGGAAUGUAAUUCACACCGUUUGUACUCGAUACAUAAUUGCAUUCUCCAAAUUCAAUAAUGAUUUGCUCAAUUUUUCUGCAUAGAGAAUUUUGUUUGUUUUGAAGGUUGUAGUUCUGCGUUAUUCUGGAACGUUAAGGCCUAAAUAUGCUCUAAACUUUAAGUGCUUUGCUGCGAUGAAGUCCGUUUCUUAACUCUAACAGAGCUUUUACAGAUAAAAAUGACCGACUCUUUCUGAUUGUGAUGCAGCUUCACUGAGCUCCACUGAUAUUAAAAGUGAUGGCGCAAAACUA
Amphiprion ocellaris (clown anemonefish) is the source of this 935-nucleotide long non-coding RNA. RefSeq lists it as uncharacterized. Lineage: Eukaryota; Metazoa; Chordata; Actinopteri; Pomacentridae. The record is from RefSeq and is a predicted model, not a curated record. The transcript has 2 exons.